UACAGAGGGGGCAAGCGUUGUUCGGAAUUACUGGGCGUAAAGGGCGCGUAGGCGGCCUGUUAAGUCAGACGUGAAAUCCCUCGGCUCAACCGGGGAACUGCGUCUGAUACUGGCGGGCUUGAAUUCGGGAGAGGGAUGUGGAAUUCCAGGUGUAGCGGUGAAAUGCGUAGAUAUCUGGAGGAACACCGGUGGCGAAGGCGGCAUCCUGGACCGACAUUGACGUUGAGGCGCGAAAGCCAGGGGAGCAAACGGG
Molecule: ribosomal RNA, 253 nt
Filed under: uncultured bacterium
Lineage: Bacteria
Description: partial 16S ribosomal RNA
Rfam family: Bacterial small subunit ribosomal RNA
Source: RNAcentral